UACGGAGGGAGCUAGCGUUGUUCGGAAUUACUGGGCGUAAAGCGCACGUAGGCGGUAUGUCAAGUUAGAGGUGAAAGCCUGGGGCUCAACUCCAGAAUUGCCUUUAAGACUGGCACACUUGAACGUCGGAGAGGUGAGUGGAAUUCCGAGUGUAGAGGUGAAAUUCGUAGAUAUUCGGAAGAACACCAGUGGCGAAGGCGGCUCACUGGACGACUGUUGACGCUGAGGUGCGAAAGCGUGGGGAGCAAACAGG
RNAcentral lists this ribosomal RNA (253 nucleotides) under uncultured bacterium. RNAcentral describes it as "partial 16S ribosomal RNA". It matches the Rfam family "Bacterial small subunit ribosomal RNA", at positions 524 to 776 of the family's 1533-position model. The record is from RNAcentral.